Molecule: non-coding RNA, 944 nt
Organism: Megalopta genalis
Lineage: Eukaryota; Metazoa; Arthropoda; Insecta; Hymenoptera; Halictidae
Source: RefSeq, a predicted model, not a curated record
GUAAAUGCUGACUUGUUAUUUAUACUAAUGCAGAGACAGUGGUACUGUCUUAUAGAUGUAUCAGAAAUUGUGGCUGAUACAUAUCACUAUAUGACCUUGGAAUAUUCAUUAGCUUCCACACGAUGUGAAAGUAUGCAACAACAACAGGAAGAGUUUGUGUUAUCUUGCCCAGAUACCCACAAUGCAUUCAUCAAGCUUUUAGUUUCUAUUUUGUGUAAUGGUGAUAACACACAGCAAUUAAAUUCCACGUUAAAUAAGUACAAUGAACUCAUAAAUGAAAACAAAGUUAAAAAGCAAUUCAUAUUGGAAACAGACAUAUAUUCCAAAAUUGAUGAACUAGAAAUGUUGUAAGUAUUAUAUUUUUAACAGUUAUACAAGUGAAAUUCAAAAGGGAGCAACAUACAGUUUCAAACCAAUUUCGUAUGAAAUUGAAACUUAUUACAAGGAAGCUUGUGAUCAUUUACAAAAUAUACAAACAGAUUUAACUAAAGUAAUAAGUCAAAUGAAAGAACAAAUGUGGAUCCAAUUACACUAAAACAAAAACAUAAAGAAGGCAUGCAAAUAACAAAUAAAUCAUGUUUUCGAAGUACAUUUGAAGUUGAAUAAAUACGAUUUUUAUGAGUGAGCAAAACAGUCUAAGCUAACCACACAUAAAUAAGGGGAAGCAUGAUGCAUGGGUUAAUUGCAUAGUACUGGAGUAUCGAGAAGCGUAAUACAUAAAUAAACUGUUCGGUUAUGGACAAAUACAUGCACAGUUAGAAAACCUCCUACAUACUAUUAAAUACUUGUCAAAAGUGGAGGAGUAUUGUAUAUAUUAUUGGCGAGCUGAUACGUAUUCAAUAUCUAGCUAUCUGUACAUACUUACAGUUAUUACUUGUAUUCUUCUCUGUUAAAUAUUUUGAAUUCUUUCCAAAUAUAUUCUAUAAUUUUGUUAAAAAAAACAA